This 497-nucleotide ribosomal RNA is filed under the name uncultured bacterium. RNAcentral describes it as "partial 16S ribosomal RNA". It matches the Rfam family "Bacterial small subunit ribosomal RNA", at positions 28 to 507 of the family's 1533-position model. The record is from RNAcentral.
GAUGAACGCUGGCGGCGUGCCUAAUACAUGCAAGUCGAGCGAACAGAUAAGGAGCUUGCUCCUUUGACGUUAGCGGCGGACGGGUGAGUAACACGUGGGUAACCUACCUAUAAGACUGGGAUAACUUCGGGAAACCGGAGCUAAUACCGGAUAACAUUUGGAACCGCAUGGUUCUAAAGUGAAAGAUGGUUUUGCUAUCACUUAUAGAUGGACCCGCGCCGUAUUAGCUAGUUGGUAAGGUAACGGCUUACCAAGGCGACGAUACGUAGCCGACCUGAGAGGGUGAUCGGCCACACUGGAACUGAGACACGGUCCAGACUCCUACGGGAGGCAGCAGUAGGGAAUCUUCCGCAAUGGGCGAAAGCCUGACGGAGCAACGCCGCGUGAGUGAUGAAGGGUUUCGGCUCGUAAAACUCUGUUAUUAGGGAAGAACAAACGUGUAAGUAACUGUGCACGUCUUGACGGUACCUAAUCAGAAAGCCAUGGCUAACUACGUG